This 74-nucleotide transfer RNA is filed under the name Candidatus Moanibacter tarae. Its description in RNAcentral is "Candidatus Moanabacter tarae tRNA-Gln". It matches the Rfam family "tRNA". From Rfam's summary of the family: Transfer RNA (tRNA) molecules are approximately 80 nucleotides in length. Their secondary structure includes four short double-helical elements and three loops (D, anti-codon, and T loops). Lineage: Bacteria; Pseudomonadati; Verrucomicrobiota; Opitutia; Puniceicoccales. The record is from RNAcentral.
UGCCUGGUGGUGUAAUGGUAGCACGACUGGUUCUGGCCCAGUUAGUCCAGGUUCGAGUCCUGGCCGGGCAGCCA